AAGUUAACAGAAAGCUCACAUUAGAGGUGGACAGUUUUUUUUUUUUUUUUGUCGUCAAACUUUUUUUCGGGGAUGGUGGAACUAAACAUUCUUCAACGAAGAAAAAUUUCCUUUUUAAUGUCAUCUUUAGGCCAUUUUCAUUAAAACCACAGGUAGAAGUGCAAAACCCUACUACUCAGUUUAGACUUCACAGUUAAAAGUGGAACGCCAGCUUAAUCUGAAUUAAUACCCAUGCGAGAGAGACUUGGAGCAGCAACCCAUUUUGAUGGAAAAAGUUUGGACUGGGAAAGAAAAGAAAUGAAUGUUUGGAAGUAAUCAUCGAAGAAGAAUGCCCACAUUAUGGAGUACAGGGAGCAACAUCUUCCCGAAGAAACUCUUACUCAACUAGGAUCACUUGUUUUUGUGUUUCAAUAAAGGAUAUUCCAUUUUUAA
Protopterus annectens (West African lungfish) is the source of this 432-nucleotide long non-coding RNA. RefSeq lists it as uncharacterized. The record is from RefSeq and is a predicted model, not a curated record. NCBI's taxonomy places the organism in Eukaryota, Metazoa, Chordata, Ceratodontiformes, Protopteridae. The transcript has 2 exons.